Molecule: ribosomal RNA, 505 nt
Filed under: uncultured microorganism
Description: bacterial SSU rRNA
Rfam family: Bacterial small subunit ribosomal RNA
Source: RNAcentral
GAGUUUGAUCGUGGCUCAGAUUGAACGCUGGCGGCAUGCCUAACACAUGCAAGUCGAACGGAAACAGGACGCUGGGAUCUCUUCGGAGUGAACUUGUCGCUGUCGAGUGGCGGACGGGUGAGUAAUGCAUAGGAAAUUGCCUUGAAGUGGGGGAUAGCCCGGAGAAAUCCGGAUUAAUACCGCAUGCGCUCUACGGAGCAAAGCAGGCCUCUGAUUUAAGCUUGCGCUUUGAGAUAUGCCUAUGUCGGAUUAGCUAGUUGGUAGGGUAAAAGCCUACCAAGGCGACGAUCCGUAGCUGGUUUGAGAGGAUGAUCAGCCACACUGGGACUGAGAUACGGCCCAGACUCCUACGGGAGGCAGCAGUGGGGAAUAUCGGACAAUGGCGCAAGCCUGAUCCAGCAAUGCCGCGUGUGUGAAGAAGGCCUGCGGUUGUAAAGCACUUUUAUCGGGAAAGAAAAACUACAGGGUUAAUACCCGUGGGCCUUGACGGUACCCGAAGAAUAAG